UGGGGGAUUUUGCGCAAUGGGGGAAACCCUGACGCAGCAACGCCGCGUGAGUGAUGAAGGCUUUCGGGUCGUAAAGCUCUGUCGAGUGGGAAGAAAUGGUGCAGGUUAAUAUCCUGUAUUUUGACGGUACCACUAAAGGAAGCACCGGCUAACUCCGUGCCAGCAGCCGCGGUAAUACGGGGGGUGCAAGCGUUAUUCGGAAUUAUUGGGCGUAAAGGGUGCGUAGGCGGUUUUGUAAGUCAGAUGUGAAAUACCGGGGCUUAACUUCGGAACUGCAUUUGAUACUGCAAGACUUGAGUAUGGGAGAGGGAAGCGGAAUUCCUGGUGUAGAGGUGAAAUUCGUAGAUAUCAGGAGGAACACCGGUGGCGAAGGCGGUUUCCUGGGCUGAUACUGACACUGAGGCGCGAAAGCGUGGGGAGCAAACA
RNAcentral lists this ribosomal RNA (426 nucleotides) under uncultured prokaryote. RNAcentral describes it as "bacterial SSU rRNA". It matches the Rfam family "Bacterial small subunit ribosomal RNA", at positions 355 to 774 of the family's 1533-position model. The record is from RNAcentral.